CGCCUGUUUAUUAAAAACAUUGUUUUUAUAAUUUAUUAAAAAUAUAACCUGCCCAUUGAUUAAUUUUAAAAGGCCGCAGUAUUUUGACUGUGCUAAGGUAGCAUAAUCAUUAGGUUUUUAAUUGGAAUCUAGAAUGAAUGGUUUGAUGAGAAAUAAUCUUUUUUAUUAUUAAAAAUUGAAUUUUAUUUAUUAGUUAAAAAGCUAAUAUUUUAUAAAGGGACGAGAAGACCCUAUAGAAUUUUAUAAUUAAAUAUUUAAUUUAUUAUUAAUUUAUUAUUAAUUUAUUAUUAAUUUAUUUUAUUGGGGAGAUAAAUAAAUUUUAAAAACUUUAAUUUUGUAAAAAUCAUUUUUUUUUGUUUAAAUGAUCUUUUAUUAUAGAUUAAAAAAUUAAAUUACCUUAGGGAUAACAGCAUAAUAAUUUUAAAAAGUUCUUAUUUUUAAAAAAGUUUAUGACCUCGAUGUUGGAU
Molecule: ribosomal RNA, 467 nt
Filed under: Didymomyia tiliacea
Lineage: Eukaryota; Metazoa; Arthropoda; Insecta; Diptera; Cecidomyiidae
Description: partial large subunit ribosomal RNA
Rfam family: Archaeal large subunit ribosomal RNA (bases 1-150)
Source: RNAcentral